UUGCUGGCUGACCUCACUGCUGACCUAAAUGAGCUCAGGGGUGUGUGGCUCCACACUGUGGACUCGGGGGCGUGGGGGCUGUACCCGUGGCCGUCUGAGGGUAGGUGUGGGUGACGUGUGCUCCGCCUGAUCAGAGGGAGUGCGAGCCGGAGAGACCAGGCACCCCCCGCCCGCCCCCAUUAGCUUUGCCGACGCAGGACUUGCACUUCACCUUGGGCCGUCUCCAGCCAUGAAGCUCCUUUUGCUGAUUUUGGCUACUCUCCUGCUGUUGUCUCAGCUAACUCCAGGUGGCACCCAGAAAUGCUGGAAUCUUCAUGGCCAAUGCCGCCAUAGAUGCACCAGGAAGGAAAAGGUCUACGUGUACUGCACAAAUAGUAAGAUGUGCUGUGUGAAGCCCAAGUAUCAGCCAAAAGAAAAGCCACGGCCAUUUUAAGUGCUUUGAAGCCUGAAGCCAUGAAAAUGGAGAUGAAGCUAUGCUGAGUCUUACCCCAGUGGAUCCCUGAGCUCUAUCAAUAAACACCUCUGGCUGAUCACUGUGCUUGUCUAUUAGUGUACCCCAGCAGUUGUCAGGAGGUCCUUUUUCGGGUGGUUCAGAAAAUCAAAACUAUUCUUGUAAUAAUAAUAAAACAUCAUUUGCCUUUUUAAA
Galeopterus variegatus (Sunda flying lemur) is the source of this 646-nucleotide long non-coding RNA. RefSeq lists it as uncharacterized. Lineage: Eukaryota; Metazoa; Chordata; Mammalia; Dermoptera; Cynocephalidae. The record is from RefSeq and is a predicted model, not a curated record. The transcript has 2 exons.